UCAGGAAGCGGGCACGCACCGCCGCUGAUUCCCUCCCGCGGUCAGCCCGCACCGGACCCGCAGCCACCAACUCUCCCACCGCCCCCCUCGGCCCCAG
Molecule: long non-coding RNA, 97 nt
Organism: Nanorana parkeri
Lineage: Eukaryota; Metazoa; Chordata; Amphibia; Anura; Dicroglossidae
Exons: 3
Source: RefSeq, a predicted model, not a curated record